UCCUCUUCGCGUCUCUCAAUUGAGAUCUGAAGGUUCUAGAAAGUUUUCGAGGCCGAUCAGACCGCGGAGUUGAAUAUAUCCUUUUUCCGGCGAGGAGUUUUGUUUUCGCCUCGUCAGUGUUUCGCAUCCGGAUCUGCGUAUGCGUGCUCGUAAGAAUUUCUGCGUUCAUUGAUCUAUUUGUUUUUUCACACUUUAAUUAUCAGUUUGAUUUGAUUUAAAGUAGUUGUAACUGCUGCACUGGUAUUUUAGGAUGAGCUUGUGUUUCACGAUUUUUUAAUAUCUAAUUGCUACAGCAUUACAGCCUCAAAUGUGUUUCUUUGCAAAUUCGUUGAUUUCGUUGGUAGGUUUAUAGUUUGAAAUUGUUCCUUUUCGAGGGUUUUAAUACGUUCCGUUCAUUGUGUCUUCUGCUGUUCAAAUUGACUGCUUUUUAACUCGUUUGUUUGAUAAUGGUAGUUUGAUUAUUCUUGUUUCUGUUAGACUAGCAUUGUGUUUGGACAUUCCAUCUGUUUUACAAUUUCUGGGUUUGUGAAUAAGCUGUAAGUUGUAACUGCUCUACUGGUAUUUUUAGCGUGAAAUUGUGUUUCAUACUAAAGCUGUGAUUAAUUUCCAAUGAAUUUGUUUUGCAAGUUCAUUGAUUUUUGAAUAUUGAGCCGGAAACAGCCUCUCUACUCGCCCGGAGUAGGGGUAAGGUCUGCGUACACACUACUUCCCCAGACCCCACUUGUGGGAUUUUAUUGGGUUGUUGUUGUUGUAUUGGUUUUUGAAUAUGUAAUGUCUGAUAGAAUGUUUUUGUUUUUUUUCCCCUAGGAUCUGAAGAAUUUUUUGAGAUGAUUUAACAGUUGAGAAGGAAACAUCACAGCUGCCUGAACACGAGCUAAGGAAUUAGUGGAAUUGAUUAACAAAAGAAAUUCAAAAUACAGCGACCAGGUUCAGGGGGCGAUUUGCCCCAAAUCAGUGAGUUCAGCCCUUUCCCAGUAGCACGGAGGGUAAAUUCUUUCCAAACCGUUGCAAUGGAUGAUGACAUGGAAGGAGGGAACUUGGGCCCUUACCAAGAUAGGCCAAGGACAUUUCCUAGCAUGAAGAGUAAAGCUU
RNAcentral lists this long non-coding RNA (1092 nucleotides) under Nicotiana tabacum (common tobacco). RNAcentral's name for it is "long non-coding RNA (NTAB_LNC001527)". The record is from RNAcentral. Lineage: Eukaryota; Viridiplantae; Streptophyta; Magnoliopsida; Solanales; Solanaceae.